GGCCGCGGUAAUACGAAGGGGGCGAGCGUUGUUCGGAAUCACUGGGCUUAAAGCGUACGUAGGCGGCCUUUUAAGUCAGUGGUGAAAGCCAACAGCUCAACUGUUGAACUGCCAUUGAUACUGAAAGGCUUGAGUACAGACGAGGUAGGCGGAAUUGAAGAUGUAGCGGUGAAAUGCAUAGAUAUCUUCAAGAACACCGAUUGCGUAGGCAGCUUACUAGGCUGUAACUGACGCUGAGGCACGAAAGCGUGGGGAGCGAACA
RNAcentral lists this ribosomal RNA (262 nucleotides) under uncultured bacterium. RNAcentral's name for it is "partial 16S ribosomal RNA". It matches the Rfam family "Bacterial small subunit ribosomal RNA", at positions 513 to 774 of the family's 1533-position model. The record is from RNAcentral.